UAUUCAAGAUGGACGGAAGGGAAUGCGGAGAGAAGAGAAGGCAGCCUUGCAGCGUGCCCGCCACUUUCAUGCCCGGGAAAAGCGGGGAGAAAUCCCGCAAAGUGUUCACUCCUGCUCCAGGGGGGGAGGCGCGAGACGAGGAGAAACAAAAGAGCUGCUGAAAGAAGGAUCCAAACCAAGACCUUGCUUUCUCUUUCUUCUACAAGGUUGCUGUUAUCUCCCAGAUUCCAUUUCUUUGAUUCUAGUCGCAAAGUUGUAAACUUACUGAAAUAUUUUUGUGGAAUUACGCAAGACCAUCAUAUGCUCCUGGACUUAAAUAUGAAUAUAUAAUACAUAAUUUCUACAUGGUUUGCAACCUGUAUGAAAAGGAGGAAUGUGUGGCUAUUCAGGUGGAGUUUUUGAGUCGUCUUCCAGAAACAUGUAAAAGGAGGGUCCAGCUGGAAGAAGACUACAGAAGGAAAUUGGACUGAUUUUGUGCAUAACAGUAGCUCAGUGUUCCACAGAAAACUUUCAAGGGAACGUAGACUUGGUAAAGUAAAUUCUAUUCAUCCUUUGUGAUCCUUCUUACCUUGAGAGAGAAGGUAGAGUGCCGGCUCUCUUAUUUCCACACAGAGAAGGAGCAGGGCCUUCAGAUACACCGAGCACGGCCCCCGUCCGAAGCUCUUUUCACAUUGUGCUACUGUCUGAGCCCAACCCAAGCAGUGCAAUGUAAAAAGGGCAUUGGGUAGGUGGCAGCAACAGCACGAAGCUUUCUCAGCCUCCACCAUUGGCCAAGUUCACGGGAGGGACACGGGGGGGGGGCUUGUUAUGUGUGAGGUAAAAGGGUUAAUCAUAGAUGUCCUAAAGGUGAGCAGUUGAUCCACCCCACCCCUUACAAUGGGGCUGUUCACCAUGAACUGCUGGAGGCCAAAUAGUACACAUUCCAGAGUGGUGGCUGAAGGAUGGCUUCUUCCUUAGAAGUCAUAUGUCACACUUAUCCAUCCUUCUUAUGAAGCUGAUGGAACAGCCUUCCUGUGUUUGAGAUAAGGUGUUUGUGUGUGUGUGUGUGUUCUCAUAGACAGGAUGUCAAAGUCUCUGGGAAAGAAAGCUCUAAAUAUUUCUACGCAGAGAACAUAUGGGCAGCUGUGCUGUGAACUUUCUAGAUUACAGUAAUUUUGCACAUGAGAUUCUGCAAUUUUCCCAGCUGUAAAUGGGAAGGAACAUAUAGGUGGGCAUUUUGUUGUUUAUUUGGGUCUCCUAAUGUUUAUCUAAUGGUACUGCUAUUUGUUUUUAAAUUAUUUCUUGGAUUUUUAAGGCCAUUGAGCAUUACUUCUCUGU
Pogona vitticeps (central bearded dragon) is the source of this 1317-nucleotide non-coding RNA. Lineage: Eukaryota; Metazoa; Chordata; Lepidosauria; Squamata; Agamidae. The record is from RefSeq and is a predicted model, not a curated record.